RNAcentral lists this ribosomal RNA (497 nucleotides) under uncultured bacterium. Its description in RNAcentral is "partial 16S ribosomal RNA". It matches the Rfam family "Bacterial small subunit ribosomal RNA", at positions 28 to 507 of the family's 1533-position model. The record is from RNAcentral.
GACGAACGCUGGCGGCGUGCCUAAUACAUGCGAGUUGAGCGAUGAAGAUUGGUGCUUGCACCAAUUUGAAGAGCAGCGAACGGGUGAGUAACGCGUGGGGAAUCUGCCUUUGAGCGGGGGACAACAUUUGGAAACGAAUGCUAAUACCGCAUAACAACUUUAAACAUAAGUUUUAAGUUUGAAGGAUGCAAUUGCAUCACUCAAAGAUGAUCCCGCGUUGUAUUAGCUAGUUGGUGAGGUAAAGGCUCACCAAGGCGAUGAUACAUAGCCGACCUGAGAGGGUGAUCGGCCACAUUGGGACUGAGACACGGCCCAAACUCCUACGGGAGGCAGCAGUAGGGAAUCUUCGGCAAUGGACGAAAGUCUGACCGAGCAACGCCGCGUGAGUGAAGAAGGUUUUCGGAUCGUAAAACUCUGUUGGUAGAGAAGAACGUUGGUGAGAGUGGAAAGCUCAUCAAGUGACGGUAACUACCCAGAAAGGGACGGCUAACUACGUG